This 484-nucleotide ribosomal RNA is filed under the name uncultured bacterium. RNAcentral's name for it is "partial 16S ribosomal RNA". It matches the Rfam family "Bacterial small subunit ribosomal RNA", at positions 30 to 507 of the family's 1533-position model. The record is from RNAcentral.
AUUGAACGCUGGCGGCAGGCCUAACACAUGCAAGUCGAGCGGAUGAAGGGAGCUUGCUCCUGGAUUCAGCGGCGGACGGGUGAGUAAUGCCUAGGAAUCUGCCUGGUAGUGGGGGAUAACGUCCGGAAACGGGCGCUAAUAUCGCAUACGUCCUGAGGGAGAAAGUGGGGGAUCUUCGGACCUCACGCUAUCAGAUGAGCCUAGGUCGGAUUAGCUAGUUGGUGGGGUAAAGGCCUACCAAGGCGACGAUCCGUAACUGAUCUGAGAGGAUGAUCAGUCACACUGGAACUGAGACACGGUCCAGACUCCUACGGGAGGCAGCAGUGGGGAAUAUUGGACAAUGGGCGAAAGCCUGAUCCAGCCAUGCCGCGUGUGUGAAGAAGGUCUUCGGAUUGUAAAGCACUUUUAGUUGGGAAGAAGAGCAGUAAGUUAAUACCUUGCUGUUUUGACGUUACCAACAGAGUAAGCACCGGCUAACUUCGUG